GAAUAUGGGGGGACCAUCCUCCAAGGCUAAAUACUCCUGACUGACCGAUAGUGAACCAGUACCGUGAGGGAAAGGCGAAAAGAACCCCGGCGAGGGGAGUGAAAAAGAACCUGAAACCGUGUACGUACAAGCAGUGGGAGCACAGAGCAAUCUGUGUGACUGCGUACCUUUUGUAUAAUGGGUCAGCGACUUAUAUUCUGUAGCAAGGUUAACCGAAUAGGGGAGCCGAAGGGAAACCGAGUCUUAACUGGGCGUUAAGUUGCAGGGUAUAGACCCGAAACCCGGUGAUCUAGCCAUGGGCAGGUUGAAGGUUGGGUAACACUAACUGGAGGACCGAACCGACUAAUGUUGAAAAAUUAGCGGAUGACUUGUGGCUGGGGGUGAAAGGCCAAUCAAACCGGGAGAUAGCUGGUUCUCCCCGAAAGCUAUUUAGGUAGCGCCUCGUGAAUUCAUCUCCGGGGGUAGAGCACUGUUUCGGCAAGGGGGUCAUCCCGACUUACCAACCCGAUGCAAACUGCGAAUACCGGAGAAUGUUAUCACGGGAGACACACGGCGGGUGCUAACGUCCGUCGUGAAGAGGGAAACAACCCAGACCGCCAGCUAAGGUCCCAAAGUCAUGGUUAAGUGGGAAACGAUGUGGGAAGGCCCAGACAGCCAGGAUGUUGGCUUAGAAGCAGCCAUCAUUUAAAGAAAGCGUAAUAGCUCACUGGUCGAGUCGGCCUGCGCGGAAGAUGUAACGGGGCUAAACCAUGCACCGAAGCUGCGGCAGCGACACUGUGUGUUGUUGGGUAGGGGAGCGUUCUGUAAGCCUGUGAAGGUGUGCUGUGAGGCAUGCUGGAGGUAUCAGAAGUGCGAAUGCUGACAUAAGUAACGAUAAAGCGGGUGAAAAGCCCGCUCGCCGGAAGACCAAGGGUUCCUGUCCAACGUUAAUCGGGGCAGGGUGAGUCGACCCCUAAGGCGAGGCCGAAAGGCGUAGUCGAUGGGAAACAGGUUAAUAUUCCUGUACUUGGUGUUACUGCGAAGGGGGGACGGAGAAGGCUAUGUUGGCCGGGCGACGGUUGUCCCGGUUUAAGCGUGUAGGCUGGUUUUCCAGGCAAAUCCGGAAAAUCAAGGCUGAGGCGUGAUGACGAGGCACUACGGUGCUGAAGCAACAAAUGCCCUGCUUCCAGGAAAAGCCUCUAAGCAUCAGGUAACAUCAAAUCGUACCCCAAACCGACACAGGUGGUCAGGUAGAGAAUACCAAGGCGCUUGAGAGAACUCGGGUGAAGGAACUAGGCAAAAUGGUGCCGUAACUUCGGGAGAAGGCACGCUGAUAUGUAGGUGAAGUCCCUCGCGGAUGGAGCUGAAAUCAGUCGAAGAUACCAGCUGGCUGCAACUGUUUAUUAAAAACACAGCACUGUGCAAACACGAAAGUGGACGUAUACGGUGUGACGCCUGCCCGGUGCCGGAAGGUUAAUUGAUGGGGUCAGCGCAAGCGAAGCUCUUGAUCGAAGCCCCGGUAAACGGCGGCCGUAACUAUAACGGUCCUAAGGUAGCGAAAUUCCUUGUCGGGUAAGUUCCGACCUGCACGAAUGGCGUAAUGAUGGCCAGGCUGUCUCCACCCGAGACUCAGUGAAAUUGAACUCGCUGUGAAGAUGCAGUGUACCCGCGGCAAGACGGAAAGACCCCGUGAACCUUUACUAUAGCUUGACACUGAACAUUGAGCCUUGAUGUGUAGGAUAGGUGGGAGGCUUUGAAGUGUGGACGCCAGUCUGCAUGGAGCCGACCUUGAAAUACCACCCUUUAAUGUUUGAUGUUCUAACGUGGACCCGUGAUCCGGGUUGCGGACAGUGUCUGGUGGGUAGUUUGACUGGGGCGGUCUCCUCCUAAAGAGUAACGGAGGAGCACGAAGGUUGGCUAAUCCUGGUCGGACAUCAGGAGGUUAGUGCAAUGGCAUAAGCCAGCUUGACUGCGAGCGUGACGGCGCGAGCAGGUGCGAAAGCAGGUCAUAGUGAUCCGGUGGUUCUGAAUGGAAGGGCCAUCGCUCAACGGAUAAAAGGUACUCCGGGGAUAACAGGCUGAUACCGCCCAAGAGUUCAUAUCGACGGCGGUGUUUGGCACCUCGAUGUCGGCUCAUCACAUCCUGGGGCUGAAGUAGGUCCCAAGGGUAUGGCUGUUCGCCAUUUAAAGUGGUACGCGAGCUGGGUUUAGAACGUCGUGAGACAGUUCGGUCCCUAUCUGCCGUGGGCGCUGGAGAACUGAGGGGGGCUGCUCCUAGUACGAGAGGACCGGAGUGGACGCAUCACUGGUGUUCGGGUUGUCAUGCCAAUGGCACUGCCCGGUAGCUAAAUGCGGAAGAGAUAAGUGCUGAAAGCAUCUAAGCACGAAACUUGCCCCGAGAUGAGUUCUCCCUGACCCUUUAAGGGUCCUGAAGGAACGUUGAAGACGACGACGUUGAUAGGCCGGGUGUGUAAGCGCAGCGAUGCGUUGAGCUAACCGGUACUAAUGAACCGUGAGGCUUAACCUUACAACGCCGAAGGUGUUU
Molecule: ribosomal RNA, 2524 nt
Filed under: Escherichia coli
Lineage: Bacteria; Pseudomonadati; Pseudomonadota; Gammaproteobacteria; Enterobacterales; Enterobacteriaceae
Description: partial 23S ribosomal RNA
Rfam family: Bacterial large subunit ribosomal RNA
Source: RNAcentral